This 1822-nucleotide ribosomal RNA is filed under the name Staphylococcus aureus. RNAcentral's name for it is "bacterial LSU rRNA". It matches the Rfam family "Bacterial large subunit ribosomal RNA", at positions 1 to 1820 of the family's 2925-position model. Lineage: Bacteria; Bacillati; Bacillota; Bacilli; Caryophanales; Staphylococcaceae. The record is from RNAcentral.
AGAUUAAGUUAUUAAGGGCGCACGGUGGAUGCCUUGGCACUAGAAGCCGAUGAAGGACGUUACUAACGACGAUAUGCUUUGGGGAGCUGUAAGUAAGCUUUGAUCCAGAGAUUUCCGAAUGGGGAAACCCAGCAUGAGUUAUGUCAUGUUAUCGAUAUGUGAAUACAUAGCAUAUCAGAAGGCACACCCGGAGAACUGAAACAUCUUAGUACCCGGAGGAAGAGAAAGAAAAUUCGAUUCCCUUAGUAGCGGCGAGCGAAACGGGAAGAGCCCAAACCAACAAGCUUGCUUGUUGGGGUUGUAGGACACUCUAUACGGAGUUACAAAGGACGACAUUAGACGAAUCAUCUGGAAAGAUGAAUCAAAGAAGGUAAUAAUCCUGUAGUCGAAAAUGUUGUCUCUCUUGAGUGGAUCCUGAGUACGACGGAGCACGUGAAAUUCCGUCGGAAUCUGGGAGGACCAUCUCCUAAGGCUAAAUACUCUCUAGUGACCGAUAGUGAACCAGUACCGUGAGGGAAAGGUGAAAAGCACCCCGGAAGGGGAGUGAAAUAGAACCUGAAACCGUGUGCUUACAAGUAGUCAGAGCCCGUUAAUGGGUGAUGGCGUGCCUUUUGUAGAAUGAACCGGCGAGUUACGAUUUGAUGCAAGGUUAAGCAGUAAAUGUGGAGCCGUAGCGAAAGCGAGUCUGAAUAGGGCGUUUAGUAUUUGGUCGUAGACCCGAAACCAGGUGAUCUACCCUUGGUCAGGUUGAAGUUCAGGUAACACUGAAUGGAGGACCGAACCGACUUACGUUGAAAAGUGAGCGGAUGAACUGAGGGUAGCGGAGAAAUUCCAAUCGAACCUGGAGAUAGCUGGUUCUCUCCGAAAUAGCUUUAGGGCUAGCCUCAAGUGAUGAUUAUUGGAGGUAGAGCACUGUUUGGACGAGGGGCCCCUCUCGGGUUACCGAAUUCAGACAAACUCCGAAUGCCAAUUAAUUUAACUUGGGAGUCAGAACAUGGGUGAUAAGGUCCGUGUUCGAAAGGGAAACAGCCCAGACCACCAGCUAAGGUCCCAAAAUAUAUGUUAAGUGGAAAAGGAUGUGGCGUUGCCCAGACAACUAGGAUGUUGGCUUAGAAGCAGCCAUCAUUUAAAGAGUGCGUAAUAGCUCACUAGUCGAGUGACACUGCGCCGAAAAUGUACCGGGGCUAAACAUAUUACCGAAGCUGUGGAUUGUCCUUUGGACAAUGGUAGGAGAGCGUUCUAAGGGCGUUGAAGCAUGAUCGUAAGGACAUGUGGAGCGCUUAGAAGUGAGAAUGCCGGUGUGAGUAGCGAAAGACGGGUGAGAAUCCCGUCCACCGAUUGACUAAGGUUUCCAGAGGAAGGCUCGUCCGCUCUGGGUUAGUCGGGUCCUAAGCUGAGGCCGACAGGCGUAGGCGAUGGAUAACAGGUUGAUAUUCCUGUACCACCUAUAAUCGUUUUAAUCGAUGGGGGGACGCAGUAGGAUAGGCGAAGCGUGCGAUUGGAUUGCACGUCUAAGCAGUAAGGCUGAGUAUUAGGCAAAUCCGGUACUCGUUAAGGCUGAGCUGUGAUGGGGAGAAGACAUUGUGUCUUCGAGUCGUUGAUUUCACACUGCCGAGAAAAGCCUCUAGAUAGAAAAUAGGUGCCCGUACCGCAAACCGACACAGGUAGUCAAGAUGAGAAUUCUAAGGUGAGCGAGCGAACUCUCGUUAAGGAACUCGGCAAAAUGACCCCGUAACUUCGGGAGAAGGGGUGCUCUUUAGGGUUAACGCCCAGAAGAGCCGCAGUGAAUAGGCCCAAGCGACUGUUUAUCAAAAACACAGGU